UUCCGGUUGAUCCCGCCGGACCUGACUGCUAUCGGAUUGAUACUAAGCCAUGCGAGUCAUUGUAGCAAUACAAGGCAGACGGCUCAGUAACGCGUAGUCAACCUAACCUAUGGACGAGAAUAACCUCGGGAAACUGAGAAUAAUGCUCGAUAGAACACUAUACCUGGAAUGGUUUGUGUUCCAAAUGAUUUAUCGCCGUAGGAUGGGACUGCGGCCUAUCAGUUUGUUGGUGAGGUAAUGGCCCACCAAGACUAUUACAGGUACGGGCUCUGAGAGGAGUAGCCCGGAGAUGGGUACUGAGACACGGACCCAGGCCCUAUGGGGCGCAGCAGGCGAGAAAACUUUGCAAUGUGCGAAAGCACGACAAGGUUAAUCCGAGUGAUUUGUGCUAAACGAAUCUUUUGUUAGUCCUAGAAACACUAACGAAUAAGGGGUGGGCAAGUUCUGGUGUCAGCCGCCGCGGUAAAACCAGCACCUCAAGUGGUCAGGAUGAUUAUUGGGCCUAAAGCAUCCGUAGCCGGCUCUGUAAGUUUUCGGUUAAAUCUGUACGCUUAACGUACAGGCUGCCGGGAAUACUGCAGAGCUAGGGAGUGGGAGAGGUAGACGGUACUCGGUAGGAAGGGGUAAAAUCCUUUGAU
RNAcentral lists this ribosomal RNA (638 nucleotides) under uncultured archaeon. RNAcentral's name for it is "bacterial SSU rRNA". It matches the Rfam family "Archaeal small subunit ribosomal RNA", at positions 1 to 646 of the family's 1478-position model. The record is from RNAcentral.